ACCCUGAUCCAGCAAUGCCGCGUGAGUGAAGAAGGCCUUCGGGUUGUAAAGCUCUUUUGUCAGGGAAGAAACGGUGUGAGCUAAUAUCCCAUGCUAAUGACGGUACCUGAAGAAUAAGCACCGGCUAACUACGUGCCAGCAGCCGCGGUAAUACGUAGGGUGCAAGCGUUAAUCGGAAUUACUGGGCGUAAAGCGUGCGCAGGCGGUUUUGUAAGACUGUCGUGAAAUCCCCGGGCUCAACCUGGGAAUGGCGAUGGUGACUGCAAGGCUAGAGUUUGGCAGAGGGGGGUAGAAUUCCACGUGUAGCAGUGAAAUGCGUAGAUAUGUGGAGGAACACCGAUGGCGAAGGCAGCCCCCUGGGUCAAAACUGACGCUCAUGCACGAAAGCGUGGGGAGCAAACAGGAUUAGAUACCCUGGUAGUCCACGCCCUAAACGAUGUCUACUAGUUGUCGGGUUUUAAUUAACUUGGUAACGCAGCUAACGCGUGAAGUAGACCGCCUGGGGAGUACGGUCGCAAGAUUAAAACUCAAAGGAAUUGACGGGGACCCGCACAAGCGGUGGAUGAUGUGGAUUAAUUCGAUGCAACGCGAAAAACCUUACCUACCCUUGACAUGGAUGGAAUCCCGGAGAGA
RNAcentral lists this ribosomal RNA (633 nucleotides) under Duganella sp. Se3Ps_2603. RNAcentral's name for it is "bacterial SSU rRNA". It matches the Rfam family "Bacterial small subunit ribosomal RNA", at positions 380 to 1006 of the family's 1533-position model. Lineage: Bacteria; Pseudomonadati; Pseudomonadota; Betaproteobacteria; Burkholderiales; Oxalobacteraceae. The record is from RNAcentral.